This 1675-nucleotide ribosomal RNA is filed under the name wastewater metagenome. RNAcentral's name for it is "bacterial LSU rRNA". It matches the Rfam family "Bacterial large subunit ribosomal RNA", at positions 296 to 1976 of the family's 2925-position model. The record is from RNAcentral.
UACAGGUUGGUGCUGCCCACCAACACAGAGUUACCAAAUCGACGGUUAGCGGAACAGUCUGGAAAGGCUGGCGAGACAGGGUGAUAGCCCCGUAUGCGAAAGCCGAUCGAUCUCUGAGUGGAGUUCCCAAGUAUGUCGGGGCACGAGAAACCUUGACAGAAUUUGCCGCGACCAUGCGGUAAGGCUAAAUAUGUUCAUCUGACCGAUAGUGAACCAGUACCGUGAGGGAAAGGCGAAAAGAACCCCGAUGAGGGGAGUGAAAUAGAACCUGAAACCGUCAAUCUACAAGCAGUGGAACCCCUAUGGUUUACCAGGGGAACCGCGUGCCUUUUGCAUAAUGAGCCGGCUAGUUAUUUUCAGUGGCGAGGCGAAGCCGAGGAGGCACAGCCGCAGGGAAACCGAGUCUGAAUAGGGCGUAUAGUCGCUGGAAAUAGACGCGAAACGGGAUGAUCUAUCCUUGAGCAGGAUGAAGGCAGGGUGAAACCUGUUGGAGGUCCGAACCAGUAUGGGUUGAAAACCGUUUGGAUGACUUGAGGAUAGGGGUGAAAGGCCAAUCAAAUUCCGUGAUAGCUCGUUCUCCCCGAAAUAGCUUUAGGGCUAGCGUCGGAUGUUUCGUCGUGCAGGUAGAGACCUGAAUGGACUAGGGGGCACACCCGCUUACCGAAUCCAACCAAUCUUCGAAUGGCACGCCGUGAAGUCCGGCAGUCAGACAGUGGGCGAUAAGGUCCAUUGUCGAGAGGGAAAGAACCCAGAUCGCCAGCUAAGGUCCCAAAAUCUCUGCUAAGUGGAAAAGGAUGUGGAUGUGCUUAGACAGCCAGGAGGUUAGCUUAGAAGCAGCUAUCCUUUAAAGAAAGCGUAAUAGCUCACUGGUCAAGCGGGUCUGUGCCGACAAUUCAACGGGGCUCAAGCAGAGUACCGAAGCUGCGAACGUAAGUGGUAGGGGAGCAUUCCCUAGGCCUGCGAAGGUUGACCGUGAGGACAGCUGGAGGCAUGGGAAGAGACUCUGUCGGCAUAAGUAGCGUAAAGACGGGCGAGAACCCCGUCCACCGUAAGACUAAGGAUUCCAACGCAAGGUCAAUCCGCGUUGGGUUAGUCGGACCCUAAGCUGAGGCCGAGAGGCGUAGGCGAUGGAAAGCUGGUUAAUAUUCCAGCACCAUGAAUACCUCGUUUGUACGAUGCAGGGACGCAGAAAGGUAGUCGCGCAGCUCUAUGGAAUGUGCUGUGAAAUCUUUCAAGGGUGAGACUUAGGGAAGUCCGGGUCUCAUGAGCCCAAGAAUUAUGACGAAAGGCGAUGAUCCUACGCUGCCGAGAAAAGCUGCUAAGGAGAGGUAUUUGUGUCCGUACCGCAAACCGACACAGGUAGUCGAGGAGAGAAUCCUCAGGUGUUUGAGUGAAGUGUGCUGAAGGAACUCGGCAAAUUAACCCCGUAACUUCGGGAGAAGGGGUACCACGGUAGGGUUCAUAGCCCGAGGUGGUGGCACAUAAAUGUCCCAGGCGACUGUUUAACAAAAACACAGGUCUCUGCAAACUCCAAAGAGGAGGUAUAGGGGCUGACGCCUGCCCGGUGCCGGAAGGUCAAGAGGAGCGGUUAGCGCAAGCGAAGCUGCGAAUUUAAGCCCCGGUGAACGGCGGCCGUAACUAUAACGGUCCUAAGGUAGCGAAAUUCCUUGUCGGG